AGUGAACGCUGGCGGUAGGCCUAACACAUGCAAGUCGAGCGGCAGCACAGUAAGAGCUUGCUCUUACGGGUGGCGAGUGGCGGACGGGUGAGGAAUACAUCGGAAUCUACUUUUUCGUGGGGGAUAACGUAGGGAAACUUACGCUAAUACCGCAUACGACCUACGGGUGAAAGCAGGGGAUCUUCGGACCUUGCGCGAUUGAAUGAGCCGAUGUCGGAUUAGCUAGUUGGCGGGGUAAAGGCCCACCAAGGCGACGAUCCGUAGCUGGUCUGAGAGGAUGAUCACCACAAGGGAAAUUGAACCACGGUCCGAACCCCGAGGGGGGGCACAGAGGGGGAAUAUGGGCAAAGGGGGGAAACCCUGAACCAGCCUAACCAGGAGGGUAAAGAAGCCCUUCGGGUUGUAAAGCCUUUUUGUUGGGAAAGAAAAGAGGCAGGUUAAUACCCCGCUUUUCGAGCGGUACCAAAAAAAAAAGCACCGGCUAACUUGGU
RNAcentral lists this ribosomal RNA (491 nucleotides) under uncultured bacterium. RNAcentral describes it as "partial 16S ribosomal RNA". It matches the Rfam family "Bacterial small subunit ribosomal RNA", at positions 29 to 506 of the family's 1533-position model. The record is from RNAcentral.